RNAcentral lists this ribosomal RNA (274 nucleotides) under uncultured bacterium. Its description in RNAcentral is "partial 16S ribosomal RNA". It matches the Rfam family "Bacterial small subunit ribosomal RNA", at positions 523 to 796 of the family's 1533-position model. The record is from RNAcentral.
AGACGGGGGGUGCUAGCGUUGUUCGGAAUUACUGGGCGUAAAGGGCGCGUAGGCGGCUCUGCGAGUCGGGCGCGAAAUCCCGGGGCUCAACCCCGGAACGGCGCUCGAUACUGCGGGGCUGGAGACCGGAAGAGGAGGGUGGAAUUCCCAGUGUAGAGGUGAAAUUCGUAGAUAUUGGGAGGAACACCGGUGGCGAAAGCGGCUCUCUGGUCCGGUUCUGACGCUGAGGCGCGAAAGCGUGGGGAGCAAACAGGAUUAGAAACCCUAGUAGUCC